Molecule: ribosomal RNA, 254 nt
Filed under: uncultured bacterium
Lineage: Bacteria
Description: partial 16S ribosomal RNA
Rfam family: Bacterial small subunit ribosomal RNA
Source: RNAcentral
CACGUAGGGGGCAAGCGUUGUCCGGAUUUAUUGGGCGUAAAGAGCUCGUAGGCGGUUCGGUAAGUUGGGUGUGAAACCUCCAGGCUCAACCUGGAGACGCCACCCGAUACUGCUGUGACUAGAGUCCGGUAGGGGAGCGUGGAAUUCCUGGUGUAGCGGUGAAAUGCGCAGAUAUCAGGAGGAACACCGGUGGCGAAGGCGGGUCUCUGGGCCGAUACUGACGCUGAGGAGCGAAAGCGUGGGGAGCAAACAGG